CGGCAAUGGAGGAAACUCUGACCGAGCAACGCCGCGUGAAUGACGAAGUACUUCGGUAUGUAAAGUUCUUUUAUCGAGGAAGAAAAGCAAAUGGCGAACCAUUUGUUUGCCGGUACUUGAUGAAUAAGCCCCGGCUAAUUAUGUGCCAGCAGCCGCGGUAAGACAUAAGGGGCAAGUGUUAUCCGGAAUUAUUGGGCGUAAAGGGUGCGUAGGCGGUCUAGUAAGUCAGUGGUGUAAUGGCAACGCUUAACGUUGUCCGGCUAUUGAAACUGCUAAACUUGAGUUAGAUAGAGGCGAGUGGAAUUCCAUGUGUAGCGGUAAAAUGCGUAAAUAUAUGGAGGAACACCAGAGGCGUAGGCGGCUCGCUGGGUCUUAACUGACGCUGAGGCACGAAAGCGUGGGGAGCAAACAGGAUUAGAUACCCUGGUAGUCCCACGCCGUAAACGAUGAGUACUAAGUGUCGGGUAAAACCGGUACUGAAGUUAACACAUUAAGUACUCCGCCUGAGUAGUACGUACGCAAGUAUGAAACUUAAAGGAAUUGACGGGACUCCGCACAAGCGGUGGAUCAUGUUGUUUAAUUCGAAGAUACCCGAAAAACCUUACCAGGUCUUGACAUGUUUUUGCAAAACGGUAGUAAUAUAGUGGAGGUUACCAGAAACACAGGUGGUGCAUGGUUGUCGUCAGCUCGUGUCGUGAGAUGUUAGGUUAAGUCCUAAAACGAGCGAAACCCUUAUCGUUAGUUGCCAGCACGUUAUGGUGGGGACUUUAACGAGACUGCCAAUGAUAAAUUGGAGGAAGGUGAGGAUCACGUCAAAUCAGCAUGCCCCUUAUGACCUGGGCUACAAACGUGAUACAAUGGCUGUUACAAAGGGUAGCUGAA
Molecule: ribosomal RNA, 882 nt
Filed under: Candidatus Phytoplasma citri
Lineage: Bacteria; Bacillati; Mycoplasmatota; Mollicutes; Acholeplasmatales; Acholeplasmataceae
Description: bacterial SSU rRNA
Rfam family: Bacterial small subunit ribosomal RNA
Source: RNAcentral